Molecule: long non-coding RNA, 6330 nt
Organism: Cervus elaphus (red deer)
Lineage: Eukaryota; Metazoa; Chordata; Mammalia; Artiodactyla; Cervidae
Exons: 2
Source: RefSeq, a predicted model, not a curated record
CCAAGGAAACCCGUUUUUUUGGGAAAUGCAGUCUUUAUUCUUUUACUUUGUGUGUGGAAUUUUUUGUUGUUAUUUAUCCAUUCUUUUCUUUAUGGUUUAUGUUACUGUCUUAAGAAGUUAUUGUUAUCUUAAGUUCUGUAUUCUGUAUUUUCUUUCAGUUUUUAAGUCUUCUUCCCACAUCCCAGUACAUAUAUUUAGGUUUAUGUUUCAUGCUGAAUUUUUUGUUGUUGUACAUAGUAUGAAAUAAGGAAUCCAGUUUUGUUUUUUUUUUAACGUAGGUUAAUUGUGCCAACACCAUGCCAACCCUGUCUAAUACCAACUUCCCAUGUGUACAUGAUCCAUUUCUAGUUUUUGAGUUUGGUUCUGUUGUCUUUUUGUCUAACCCUAUGCAAAUAUGUUAAGCUAUGACACUUUUAAUUACUGUAGCCCCAUGAAUGCUGAUACUAAGCAGGUGUGUGUUGUCUUGAUCUUAUAUAAGCCUAGUUCCUUUUAAUAAAAAUGGAGUUAAUAAAUCUACAUUCUUAGCUCUUGGUAGCCUGCAAACACUUGGAGGAUCUAAUACUGAAACUUGCUCACCCCACCUAUGAAAAUUGGUGUGUUCUGUUGCAUAUUUACAUUUUAAACUAUAGCAAGGUAUCACAUCUAUCACCCUGACCCCUACCUUCUGCUGUAAGGCUGCACCAAUAAGAGUGCCCUUCCAUGUUCUGUUGGAGCUUAAAGCAAAGGAAAAUUAAUAAUUGUCAUUUGCAAUUUUUGAUAUUUUGAGCAUCAUGGAUUUUUGCAUUCAUUUUAUUCUUUUAAAUGUUGCAUUAAAAUAUUUCUCUUGAUUACUGAAGUUUUUAGUACCCCUUAUAUUUUGUCUCCAAGGCAAGUACCUCACUUGCUUCAUCUUAGUCCCAGCUGAUAAAUACAUUUAUUAAUUCCUGAACCUUUGAACUGACUGUCUCUAGACCGUUUUCCUGGUUAAAGACAGACAUUACCACAGAGGGAUAUCUCUCUAUUGGUCCCCUUUAGCAUAGAUCAAUUUUUUUUUGUUUUCUGGGGCACUUAAGAGAAAUGGAGGAAAGGCUUUGCUUCCCUAAGCAGUGAGCCAUCAUUUAAUACUUUGAAAGCAAAAUGCUGACAGAAACUGCAAGUUCCAAAAAGAUAUCAUUUAUGGAAAAGCUUUAAUCUAUGAAAUGUAUUUGAAAAUAAUAUUGUUUACAUAUUUUAGUGUCUAUGGGGAAGGGAGAAGUAUCUUAAGUCAAUGGCACCUUAUAGUUGCCAUUGGCUAGGCAGUUGUCAUGGCAGUUGCACCAGCUUGUCAUAGCUGUUCACAUUUUAAUUCCACAGUUAGGUUUUAAGUCUUAAAAAAAUUUCUAUUACAAUAGAUAUAAUCCUAAGUGUUAUUAAAGCAUUGUUUCGUGGUUUAAUUCGCACCUUUUUUUCCUUAGUCAUAUGUAAAGGAAUGGCAUGUAAAAUAAAGCAAGCUUAAAAGUUGAUGGAGUAUGAUAUAUAAUUUAUAAGCACUUUGUAUAAAACAUGCUGGGGGAAAUGCCCAUUAGUUUAGCACAGUAAGUGUUUUGGGAUGUGUGAGAGUUUUAUUUUCUCUUCCCUCAAAAUGUUACAUAAGAUGUUAACGUAUGUUAAAUCUAGUAGGUAAAGGUGUUUGAAUAAAAUUUUGAGUUAAAAAGUAAAAUACAGAAACUAAAUGAUUCAGUUUAGUCCUGGAUUGCUUUCCAUGAAGCAGGCACCAAUUUAUAAGCCCGGCAAUAUACAACAGUGCUCAUGUUUUCUGUUUUGCCAGUAUUCCAAAUUGCCAGUCCUGGGGGUGUAGUAAUUUGUGAUUUCCUUUUUUAAUUCUCAUUUAUUUGAUUACUAGUGAGAUUGAACUUUUCUCUCUCUCUUUUUUUUUUUUUUGGUAAAUGUAUGGCUUUUAUCUAAACCUGUUUGCGUAUGUUGCUUAUUUUCUGUUAACACAUUGACUUUUUUCUUACUAAUUUGUGAGAGCUUUUUAUGUUUUCAGGAGAUUAGCCGUUACUCUGUUACAUAUGUCACAAAUCAUUUUCCUGAGUUCACCAGUUGCCUUUCAGUACUGCUUAAAUAGGGAUGUCAAAGCGUGAAUGGGAGCAAACUGAUCAGUUUAAUCUGAUACUGAAACAUCCUAAUUCCUGAAAAGCUACAAGCUCAAACGCAUAGAAUUCCACGUCCCCCCUCUUAUAGCAUACUACCCUGUGUCUGCUUUUUCUUAGACAGUGUUUUUUUAUUUCUAUGCCAGCUUUAUUUUCUAUAUAUUGUUUUAAGAAUACAGUGGGGUUUAUUUUUUUGUUUGUUUUACUUUUAAAUAAAAAUUUGAAGUAAAAUUUAAAUGAAAAGAGAUGUUCAAUUUGAGUUUUGAGAAGUCUCUUGAUUUUUUUAAGUUUCAAUAGUUUAGAACAUUAUCAUUUUCUUCAACAGUUUGAACCUUCAGUUGUAUACUUAGACAGUCUUUUCACAUUCUGAAUGGCAGUCUUGAGCACGUCCACUUGUAAACCCGCUGAGAGCUCUGGUGACAAGAAAGGCAGUGGCUGGCAGACCUUACAAGCCCUUAAAAGUACAAGAACAAAAAGGUUUUUUGUAAACCUGAAAGAAAACGAACCCAACACUAUGUAAUUAUAGUAUUUAUACUGCUAUUAACCUUUAAUCUUAGAGCCCAUUAAUGAAGGCAGAGAACUGUCGCUGUACCCUUCAAAAUCAUAUUUUUCUCUGUCCUUGUGAUAAAUACCUGUGGCUUCUCGGCAGUACUUUUGCUUUUAUUCCAGAGACUUUCAUGGUUAAAGGCAGGCUAUAUUUAAUAAAUAUCAUUAUUGUUUCCCUCCUCCUAAAAGCACUAUUUAUAUCAGAAGUUACUGGAUUUCUAAAUGUCUAUGUAAGAGCAUCUUGUGACUCUUUUAUGAUGCCCAGAACUCAUUUAAAGUAUGAGGUACAGAGUUAAUAGCUAAUGUAAAGGGAAGUAGGUUUGUAACUGGCUUGUUCUACAUGCAUACACAUCUUAAUACCCUAAGUUAGACGCUUUUAGCUUAAUUUUGGUGACUUCAAAGACCUAUGUUUAGGAAUAUAGAAAGCAGUGAAUUUCUUGAUCAGACAAGGAAUUGGCUCAAGUGCUUUCUCAUAGAUGCUUUUCCCAAUGGCCCAAAGAGAGUACCUUUGGACAGCAGUACAUCACCUAGGUAAGCUCCCCUUUUGUACCUUUUAUUACAGUUCCAUUUGCUAAUUUACUUUAAUCAGAGAGUAGUAAGUGACUGAACAGUAACUAUGUACAUUCCCUUUCUGGGAGAUUUUAUUUCUGCUCUGAGAUUGAAAGGUCCAAAAAAAGUAUAAGUAUUAUAAGAAUGAAAAGAGCAGGUUUGGUACAAUGGUAUGCCAAGGUUAAUUCUUGCUUUUCCAGAGAAAAUUGAUAUAAAUAUCCUAGAAGGUGAUAUAGAAAAAUUGCUGACAGAUGGUAAAUAAUUUCUUUAGGGAAAAUCGUGGAAAAGUUUCCUUUCUCAGUCCCUGAUGAUUCUAGGAUGUAGUUACGUGAAAUAGAAAAUUUCUUUCAUGUAUUACAUGGAUUUAUUCAUAUUUUGUGUGAUCUCUGAGAAUGAAUGUUGAAAUGGACUUCAAGGAAUCCUAUGCAGUAGUUAUGCCUGGAGGUUUUGUGUAGUGUAGUGUAAAACAUACCUUUAAUUUUAGGGCAAAAUUGAACUUGGUUAGUUCGUACCACACAUUUCCAAAUAGUUUUGAGUAACUAAAAUUAUACAAAUAAAUCCGUAAGUUAAAUACACUGAAAGAUUGGCUAUGUAAAAUUACUCUUGACAACCCAUGUUUGUUUAUGUAAUAUUUUUAAAGGCUUUUUCAGGAUGGGACACACAUGAAUCUGGCAGUUAAGAAUGUGUAAUAGAGUAUAUACACUAUUAUAGUAUAUACUACACUAGUCAAAUGCCUUUCAGCAUCAAAAGUUUACAUGUCAAUGCUGAUUGCAUUAACACUUGGGGAGAUUUCACAUCAGAGAGCAACACACACAAUGUUUGUCAGUUUGAGAGAGAAAUAUUGGCCCAUAAAGCGAACUCUGAAUGAUUUGUAAUUCCAUAUCCUCAAAAGUUUUAACACAGUAGUCCUGAAGAAUUGUCAUCUGUGUGUUCUUCAAAGAGUAAUUUUGUAACAGGGCGGAUCUUUAGAUAUGUUUUCAUGAGGUCUCCACGUUGAUUGCCUACGUACCAGAUGGGCCUUUAGAAGCUCUGAUCGGAUUCUCCAGGGGCCAGAAUCCACUUCGGUUUGAGGGCAGCUCGUUCUUCUUCCCGUCAUUUGUGUCAUGAACCCCUUGGGGCCAAACAUUUAAGCACAGCUCUUACAGUGACUGGCAGUUAUCUUUUCUAAUUCUGUUCAUUUCACUGAUACAUUGUGGCUUCAAUUGUCUUUACCAUCCAAACCUCAAUUCUCCAAAGACUCUAGUUUUCUUUCUUAAAGUAUACAACCCAGAACAGAACCCAAUGUAGGUAGUAGAACUGUGGUCCUUUGUUCUAGUUACUGCUCUUUUGUUCUUCUAUUUAACACUCAAAUAAUGAACUAGCUUUUCUGACAUCCACAUCCACAUGAAAAUGAGUCUUUUAGGUUAUUUUUAUUACUGUUAAUAGUCUUUCCCCAUCCUGCACUUGUGCAGUUGGUGUUUUGUUCAACCUGCUUCGCAGGACCUUCAUUUAUUCUAAGUUUUCUUGUGUUAGAUUUAUUAACCUUUUGAAAUAUUUUGGGAAUCAUCGAAGAUAUGUAUACUAUCUUAUUCUUUUCAAUCACCCGAAAGCUUGAAACUUGAACAUUCAGUAUUGAAUGAAACAAGUCUGAGGACAACGACCUAGGAAACUUCUCUUUGAUAUGAUAUAAAUUGACCAAUGUUUUAAGCAGCAUCCAUUAGGUAAAAAUUUUAGCAAUUUACUGAUUCAUCCAUCAGCCUGUUUCUCUCCAGGUUUGUCUGUGAGAGCAUCAUGGAUCUUAAAUUCCUUGCUGAAGUCCUGCAUUUCUCAAAUGUUAGUCAAGUAACUGCCCUCCAAAGUUCAUGUAGUACCUGCUGAUACUUGGUGAACAGUGUUCUCUUGCCAAAAGGCUUAAGAAACAUUAUCACUGUAAGUAAGGUUUUAUUCCAGGGCCUUUCCUGGGAUCAGUGUCAAGUUGUUGCCAUCUUUUACCUCUUAUAAAAAUCGGAAAGAUAGUCACCCUUUCUAAUGUAAGGCCAGUACCCCCCCCCCCACUUUUAUAUAACUACAGUGGGUCACCUAGAAAUAUUCUUAGAUUUCCAGGAUGAUUUUCUUGUUUUCCAUUAGCAUAAAAUAGGAAAUCAGUUCUUAUUGGCCUUAUCACUUCUGUAUAAUUCAAUUUAUUUGGAGUUUUCACUUUGACCCUAUUCCCAUGGGCCCAUGCAAAUUUAUUUGUUUAUUUUUGCUUAUGGUGUUUCUUGCAUCAUUUAUGUGUUUUUGAAACUCUGAACUUGUUACAUUUUUUUCCUGUGUAAACUGGUGGUUCUUGUUUUGUUGUUGUUUUAUUGCUUUUAGUUACGUCUCCCUUUUUAUUCUGUAUAUAUGUGAUUUAUCAAUUUAAAAAGUAUUUUAAAAGUAACCUUGAUGCAUCUAAAAAAAAAAUCAAAAUUACAACUUGGCCUCACGCCUGAGGCCAGCUGCAGCACGUGAACUGGACAGAACAGAACAGGGCCACAUCGAGAAGAUGCUCUUCACAUCACAGACACUGGGGCCUUACCUACACAGCUUACCAGCAAGGGGAAGGAAGGUGUUCUUACCAAUAAAGUCAGUGUGGUUAUAGUGCAACAAAUAUCUGUCAGGUGACUUGAGAAAAGGAGUCCUUUAUAAAGAGCUUUUUAAAAAUUUAUCAAAGAUGCCACAUGGGCCAGUAGUAACCCUGGAGCCUUAUGUUUGUUCUAGGAAAUGAUGUAACUUCUCUCUUUAUAUUCUUCCCUACUUGUGUUAUAUCUUUGUUCCCUUAAAACUUGGGGAAAGGUAGCACUGUCGGAGUGUGGCAGAGGAGCUGAGCAGCAUAUAGGUGAUUGCAAAAGACCAGCUUUGGCUUUCCAGCCUUGAGUUCAAGAGCCUCUCUAGGAUAAACCUUUGGGUGCCCUUCUGUCUCUUGUUUUCUUGUCUCUCUCGAUUACCAGGGAUUCAAAAAUAGCAAGUAAAAAAUAACAGGGAAAAAAUGCCCCAGGUACAGACAGCCUUAUGUAUUUCUACAGAUACAUGAGUUACGUGUAAUGUGUGUAUAGAUAGUGUGUUUCUUGGCACCCGUUUCUGUACACAUGCUAUGUACUUCAAUAAAAAUUUAUUUCACAAACAU